RNAcentral lists this ribosomal RNA (495 nucleotides) under uncultured bacterium. Its description in RNAcentral is "partial 16S ribosomal RNA". It matches the Rfam family "Bacterial small subunit ribosomal RNA", at positions 28 to 507 of the family's 1533-position model. The record is from RNAcentral.
GACGAACGCUGGCGGCGUGCCUAAUACAUGCAAGUAGAACGCUGAAGGAGGAGCUUGCUUCUCUGGAUGAGUUGCGAACGGGUGAGUAACGCGUAGGUAACCUGCCUGGUAGCGGGGGAUAACUAUUGGAAACGAUAGCUAAUACCGCAUAAUAGCAGUUGUUGCAUGACAACUGUUUGAAAGGUGCAAUUGCACCACUACCAGAUGGACCUGCGUUGUAUCAGCUAGUUGGUGGGGUAACGGCUCACCAAGGCGACGAUACAUAGCCGACCUGAGAGGGUGAUCGGCCACACUGGGACUGAGACACGGCCCAGACUCCUACGGGAGGCAGCAGUAGGGAAUCUUCGGCAAUGGACGGAAGUCUGACCGAGCAACGCCGCGUGAGUGAAGAAGGUUUUCGGAUCGUAAAGCUCUGUUGUAAGAGAAGAACGAGUGUGAGAGUGGAAAGUUCACACUGUGACGGUAUCUUACCAGAAAGGGACGGCUAACUACGUG